Molecule: non-coding RNA, 58 nt
Organism: Apaloderma vittatum (bar-tailed trogon)
Lineage: Eukaryota; Metazoa; Chordata; Aves; Trogoniformes; Trogonidae
Source: Rfam
UAGCUCAGUCAGUUGAGCGUAGCGUUAACAACGCUAAGGUUGUGGGUUCGAUUCCUGU